UUGAUUCGCGAUUCUCCCCUCAACCUCCCAACAGUUCACGGUUUAACUUACACGGCAGAAGAAAUAGGAGAAGUAUCAUGAAGUGGUUCGAGUUACCGGAACUCCGAUUCGCGAUUAUCGUCACCGCGUGACAUGCAUUUCAUCAUGAAUAAUACCUGAAAUAUCAGUCAGAAUAAAUUUAUUGAGAAUACAGACAAAUUGGUUAAAUCGUUUCUCAAGAACAUGCAAAAUCAGCGGGUAAAAAGUUUCAAAUUUAAAAUUGCAGACACCAGUAUUAUUAAUCUACUGUUCACGUAGUUUAACCUGGUGUGCUCGUUGUAUUUUUCAGCGACUGUUUCGAUUACAUUUUGACCCGCCUGAGCCUUUUAACCGGUGCAAAUUUAUUUCAGAAUUUGAAGAAACGCUGUAUUUUUUAAUAAGUUUAUUUUUGUGCUGAUUAUUUUAGUGUGUCCGAUUUAAUUUUACAAGCAAAUUUAUAUCCGGCUUAUAUUUAUAAUCGGUCACUAUUUUUAUUAGGUUAAUUAUUCAACUAAAAUAAUUAGUGUAAAUAAUCAUAAUUAUUAUUGAAUUUAUUUUGGUUUGCUUAACUAUUAAUUUUUAAAGUAUAGUGAAAAAAAAAGGUUAAAAAUGUGAGUUUAGAUUUAUUCAUAAAAAUAUUUCUCAAUCUGAAAAAGAAAUGGAUAAGAAGGAAUAAAUUUGGUGAAUUUUGAGGAUCUAAUAGCAGUGUGACACGUGUCACUCUUCACUCUCUCAUACAACAAACUCUCACGUCUCUCUCAUUUAAUAGCUGUCACCUACCACUCAUAACGACUUAAUUCCCACUCCUAUUCAUUGAAUUUCCCAGCGUCUCUCUCCUAUCUCCACGUUACCCCUUCUUCUCUCUCUUUCAAAAAACGUAAAAAAGGAAAAAGAAACGGUCACUCACGUGGCUCUCUCUCACAAACUCACUACAUCCGCCUUCUCCGUCUCCACUAACCCUACCUCACCUCACACCUUCAUCUUCUUCACCUAAAUCCACCCUUCAACCAACUCCACCUCCGUCUCCUUUCCGCUUUCUUCACAAACCCACAAAACUCACUCGCCCAGCUCUCGCCUCCCUCACCGUCUGUUCCUCAUCUCAAACACCAUUAACACCACCAUCAAUCACCUACAUUCUCUCAUCGACCGCAAACAAAAAACGGAUCUCCACCGCUCACCAACAACAAAAACAAAGCGCAAUCCACCGCCGUAACCACGUUUCCACCUAAAACCUCCGCUCGCACCAUCCUUUUCUCCAAAUACAAACCAUACGCAUCUCCUCCGUACCACACGACCGGUGAAUACUCAAUAUCUCCCAGAAUCUCUCGCCAUUGAUGGUACCUUCAGCAACUCCGGUCGCCGAUCCGUCACGCCUCUAACAAACAGUAGAGUUUACUGUUACAUUUUUCAUCGCCAGGAAAGAAGUUGAAUGAUAUCGUCGACAUCAACGAAUUCAACAUCCUUGCAACUCAGGAAUUGUUCAGAGCAAAACUCAACAAUAAUAACUCAAUAGCACCUUAGCGGUGCCAUAGGAUAUCGAACAAGAACGAGGCCACUUGCUUCAGCUUUGUUUUGGAUGAUUUCAAGUUAGAGAGUUUUCUUCGAUUGGUUCGCUGCUGGUUUUUGUUUGGUUUUUUUGUGCAGGUAAGGGUUCGGUUAAGACUCGGAACGGAAAGAUCCAGAUUCGCUUCAUCAACGGUGCUGCAUUCGGUAAUAUCUCGAACCGAAAACACUGAUUACGAAUGGUUCCAUAGUUUGAUGCUAUUUUAGUUAUUGAAUCAUGUGUGCAACUCAAAAAUUAGUUUCGGUAUUUUGAUUGCAUUACGUAUCGGCUUUACUGCAGAAGUUUAUUUCGAUUCCAUAUGUUUCAUGACAGAAUGUGUUUCGGAAUAAGUGUUGGAUUUAUGUCGACAUUGCGGUAGUCUUGUAAACAAUUAAGUUGUUCUUA
Long non-coding RNA from Lathyrus oleraceus (garden pea), 1966 nucleotides. RefSeq lists it as uncharacterized. The transcript is spliced from 2 exons. The record is from RefSeq and is a predicted model, not a curated record. Lineage: Eukaryota; Viridiplantae; Streptophyta; Magnoliopsida; Fabales; Fabaceae.